GACCUGACCAGCUCCAGCAGCAUUGUAAAUGAGUCUUGAUAAUCCUCCAGACCGGAGAGAGAGCAAAGGAGCAGGAGGAAAGGAGUCUCCUCCUCAAGGUUGCGGUGGAGCAGGAUUGGCUCGUCAUCAAACUCGCUGAAGAUUUCUGAGUCGUCAUCCAAGCUGUCUCCGGAGCUCUCUAGCAACAGUCCCACGCCAUCAUCCAGUAUUUCCUCUGCAACAAAUAUGUCAUGUAUGAGCUUCAUGAAAAAAUAGUUUCUUUGAAUAAGACUUUUAUUUCCUUGUCUUGUAAUGUCAUGUAAGGUCCUCUCAUACUAGGUCUGAGCAUCCUGUCCUCCUCAAUAAAGACCCUUUAGAUUCACUGUGAAAAAAUAAAUUGAAGCCUCUUCCGUUUGCUUGAAAAUACAAUUAAAGCUUGAGAUUUGCCUA
Acanthochromis polyacanthus (spiny chromis) is the source of this 429-nucleotide long non-coding RNA. RefSeq lists it as uncharacterized. The record is from RefSeq and is a predicted model, not a curated record. The transcript is spliced from 2 exons. NCBI's taxonomy places the organism in Eukaryota, Metazoa, Chordata, Actinopteri, Pomacentridae.